GCACCAGUGGUGGAAUGGUAGACACGCACGCUUGAGGGGCGUGUGGAGAAAUCCGUGAAAGUUCAAGUCUUUUCUGGUGCACCA
Molecule: transfer RNA, 84 nt
Filed under: Erysipelotrichaceae bacterium OH741_COT-311
Lineage: Bacteria; Bacillati; Bacillota; Erysipelotrichia; Erysipelotrichales; Erysipelotrichaceae
Description: tRNA-Leu
Rfam family: tRNA
About the family: Transfer RNA (tRNA) molecules are approximately 80 nucleotides in length. Their secondary structure includes four short double-helical elements and three loops (D, anti-codon, and T loops). Further hydrogen bonds mediate the characteristic L-shaped molecular structure. tRNAs have two regions of fundamental functional importance: the anti-codon, which is responsible for specific mRNA codon recognition, and the 3' end, to which the tRNAs corresponding amino acid is attached (by aminoacyl-tRNA synthetases). tRNAs cope with the degeneracy of the genetic code in two manners: having more than one tRNA (with a specific anti-codon) for a particular amino acid; and 'wobble' base-pairing, i.e. permitting non-standard base-pairing at the 3rd anti-codon position.
Source: RNAcentral